This 492-nucleotide ribosomal RNA is filed under the name uncultured bacterium. RNAcentral describes it as "partial 16S ribosomal RNA". It matches the Rfam family "Bacterial small subunit ribosomal RNA", at positions 29 to 507 of the family's 1533-position model. The record is from RNAcentral.
AUUGAACGCUGGCGGCAUGCUUUACACAUGCAAGUCGAACGGUAACAGGCCUUCGGGUGCUGACGAGUGGCGAACGGGUGAGUAAUGCAUCGGAACGUACCCAGAGGUGGGGGAUAACGCAGCGAAAGCUGUGCUAAUACCGCAUGUGAUCUGAGGAUGAAAGCGGGGGACCGAGCAGCAAUGUUUGGCCUCGCGCCUUUGGAGCGGCCGAUGUCGGAUUAGCUAGUUGGUGGGGUAAAGGCCUACCAAGGCGACGAUCCGUAGCUGGUCUGAGAGGACGACCAGCCACACUGGGACUGAGACACGGCCCAGACUCCUACGGGAGGCAGCAGUGGGGAAUUUUGGACAAUGGGCGCAAGCCUGAUCCAGCAAUCCCGCGUGCGGGAAGAAGGCCUUCGGGUUGUAAACCGCUUUUGGCAGGAACGAAACGGUGUCCGCUAAUACCGGGCGCUAAUGACGGUACCUGCAGAAUAAGCACCGGCUAACUACGUG